This 239-nucleotide ribosomal RNA is filed under the name uncultured bacterium. RNAcentral describes it as "partial 16S ribosomal RNA". It matches the Rfam family "Bacterial small subunit ribosomal RNA", at positions 107 to 334 of the family's 1533-position model. The record is from RNAcentral.
UGAGUAACGCGUGGAUAAUCUACCCUUAAGAUGGGGAUAACGGCUGGAAACGGUCGCUAAUACCGAAUACGCUCCCGAUUUUAUCGUUGGGGGGAAAGAUGGCCUCUGCUUGCAAGCUAUCGCUUAAGGAUGAGUCCGCGUCCCAUUAGCUAGUUGGCGGGGUAACGGCCCACCAAGGCAACGAUGGGUAGCCGGUCUGAGAGGAUGACCGGCCACACUGGAACUGGAACACGGUCCAG